This is a long non-coding RNA of Gossypium arboreum, 403 nucleotides long. RefSeq lists it as uncharacterized. NCBI's taxonomy places the organism in Eukaryota, Viridiplantae, Streptophyta, Magnoliopsida, Malvales, Malvaceae. The record is from RefSeq and is a predicted model, not a curated record. The transcript has 2 exons.
UUUGCCUCAGAAAAAUAAGAGGGGAGGGGUUCUCUGUUCUCUCUGGCCAAAGCCAGAAUCUGGCCAAGAAGAGUCACCAGACCUUCGCAGGGUCACCGUUGAUCGUCGUCGCCGGCCACCCCGUGCGGUGGCUGGAAUUUCGAAAGGCUAACGGUGGUGGAGCAGAGGCCACUUGCAGGCGUCGCUGGUGGAUGGGGUGGGGAGCAUGUGCUGACGGCUAGGGUUUUAGGUUUUCAUUUAUUUUUCUUUAAUGUAUUGGGCUAGGUUAUUUGGGUUUUGGGUAGGUUUAAGUUGGUUUAGGGGUUUUGGGCCCAAAAUUGGGCUUGUACAAGGCCCAUGGAAAUCAUAGCCACAUGACUUUUAAAGUCUAAAAAUAUCAAAUACAUAUUGACAGUAGAUAGAA